RNAcentral lists this ribosomal RNA (441 nucleotides) under uncultured bacterium. Its description in RNAcentral is "partial 16S ribosomal RNA". It matches the Rfam family "Bacterial small subunit ribosomal RNA", at positions 338 to 795 of the family's 1533-position model. The record is from RNAcentral.
CCUACGGGUGGCAGCAGUGGGGAAUAUUGCACAAUGGGGGAAACCCUGAUGCAGCAACGCCGCGUGAGUGAAGAAGGAUUUCGGAUUGUAAACCUCUGUUAGUAGGGAAGAAAAAUGACGGUAGCUAAGGAACAAGCCACGGCUAACUACGUGCCAGCAGCCGCGGUAAUACGUAGGGGGCAAGCGUUAUCCGGAAUUACUGGGUGUAAAGGGAGCGCAGGCGGGAAGCCAAGUCAGAUGUGAAAACAACGGGCUUAACUUUGGGACUGCAGUGGAAACUGGUUUUCUUGAGUGCAGUAGAGGUUGGUGGAAUUCCGAGUGUAGCGGUGAAAUGCGUAGAUAUUAGGAGGAACACCGGUGGCGAAGGCGGCUAACUGGGCUGUAACUGACGCUGAGGCUCGAAAGUGUGGGGAGCAAACAGGAUUAGAUACCCCUGUAGUC